Molecule: long non-coding RNA, 894 nt
Organism: Aethalodelphis obliquidens (Pacific white-sided dolphin)
Lineage: Eukaryota; Metazoa; Chordata; Mammalia; Artiodactyla; Delphinidae
Exons: 2
Source: RefSeq, a predicted model, not a curated record
GCAAAAGGGAGGGGGUGAGUGUGGAAUCUUUACCGAGUUGAGUCAGAACUUGACUUUUUUUUUUUUUUCUUUCUUUCUUCUUCAAAGCCAUACAAGACUCACGCUUAACUAUCAGGGGGUUGAAUGAGAAAUAAGAUGGAGACCGCUCUAGAUAUGCAGCAGCCCUAAAAUUGUCUCAAUUGGGCAAGGUGUUUUGCAGGAAAAACCAGAAGUGACUCGGGGAAAAAAAAUCAGAAUGAGCAAGUACUUCCGCUUAGUCAGUAACCCAAUAGCUUUGAAGCAUAGAGAACCUGCUGUCAUUGUUGGGGAAAACUUCACGUUCUUGCAGCAGUUGGCAACAUCUUUUGCUUAAUUCCUGCACUGUCAAGUCAGACUGACUUCCUUUUAGUUACAGCAUUUUACCCCCUUUAUUUCGUUGACAGACAAAACCUCUUUGCUUUCUUUUUUAAGACAGCCUUUUUCAUUUAGGAAUGGAAGGAGGGCAAUGUGUUUAUAUUGUUAAGGAAAAAACCGAGGAGGUGUUACUGAAGAUACAGAGCUGUGUGUGGAAGCUUUUUACAAGGAAGAAAUGGAACACCCACAUUACCAAGGACUUGUCCUGGGAACUGUGCUAAGAGCUGGUUAAUGGGAUAAUGCUGAAAACAAUGAACCUGCAAAGUUGGCCACAUCUGUCUACUGGAUUUUCUCAAACUCUGAACAAGCAGUAGGAGGGACUUCUAGUUUCACCCCUUAUCUUGGCUCUUUUGACCUACACCUUUGAGGGAUCUGGCUCAGAACAGAAAGGAUGACUGCCAGACAGAUACCGGAGAGGAGAAGGAGAGCAGCAAUGGCUUGUAUCAUAACAGUAGCUUGAAUUUAUAGUAUAGUGUUUGGCAACUCAUAAAAUUCUUUCAC